UACAGAGGGGGCAAGCGUUAUUCGGAAUUAUUGGGCGUAAAGGGCGCGUAGGCGGUUUUUUAAGUCGGAUGUGCAAUCCCCGGGCUCAACCCGGGAACUGCAUCCGAGACUGGAAGGCUAGAGUACUGGAGAGGGUGGUGGAAUUCCUCGUGUAGCGGUGAAAUGCGUAGAGAUGAGGAGGAACACCAGUGGCGAAGGCGGCCACCUGGACAGUAACUGACGCUGAGGCGCGAAAGCGUGGGUAGCAAACAGG
Molecule: ribosomal RNA, 253 nt
Filed under: uncultured bacterium
Lineage: Bacteria
Description: partial 16S ribosomal RNA
Rfam family: Bacterial small subunit ribosomal RNA
Source: RNAcentral